AGAAUGUCAACAUCAGAAUUAUGUUUAUAAAACAUGGCUUUGAAUACUGUGAGAGGAAUGAAUUAUAGGAUGGAAAGAGAACAAAGCCAGAGAGACUAAUUAAGAGAUUAUAUUAGUCAGAAAUGCUUUUAGCAUCGAGUAAGAGAAAAUUCAAAAUAGCUUAAAACUUGUAAUGACAUUUAUUGUUUACCCACAGUAAAUCAGAAAACAAGGCAUUUGGGAGGCUCAGCGAUAUCAUUAGAAACCCAGGCUUGUUCCAUCUUCCUGCUCCGACAUCCUCCACACGUCGGCUAUUUAUUCUCUUGCUUAUUCCCUCAUGGUUACAAGAUGGCUGCUUCAGCUCCAGACACAAUAAUCUUAUUAAGGGCAGCAGAUAGGAAAGGGGACAAGGUUUAUUUUUUUAAAGAAAAUCAAAACUUUCCCAGAACCCCAUCAAAGACCUCUCUUUCCAGUUUCAUUGUGUCCAAACUGGGUCAUAGUGUCUUUCUAACUGAAAACAAGGCUGGAACAUUGAAUGUCUGGCAAAGCAGAACAGGAUUGUUCAUUGUUAUCCAGCCCAUAGGUUAGAUGUGUGGUUGCACGGAGCAAAAUGAGGGUUUGAUAGGCAGGUAAAGAGGGCAACGCCUGUUGGGUAGGAAAUAAACAGCGACGGUCACAAAAGUAAGAGAUGAUGGCCCAGACUGAGAGGGUAGCAAUGGAGUUAAAGAUAUGUAAGAGGUGGAGGUUACAGAACUUG
This 736-nucleotide long non-coding RNA is filed under the name Marmota monax (woodchuck). Lineage: Eukaryota; Metazoa; Chordata; Mammalia; Rodentia; Sciuridae. The record is from RNAcentral.